CAAGAUGGCGGCGCCUAUGUCGGAGUCGUGAUCAUUCAAUCAGGUCACUCAUGUCGUGAUUUAAAGAAAAACAUGAGAUCCAUGUCAUGGACUACUGGAUUUAUGUCAUCGCGAUCAUAACGCCGAAACAAAGGAGCCGUAGAUAAACCAGUGACAGAACCAUGCAGGUGUCGGUGAGAAGGCUGGCUCUUUAUCCGCUGGGCGCUGUCCGGUCCGGCCAAAUCAGGUGUUCCCUCCUGAGCCCAGUACCCCGCCUCCUGUCCCCCAGAGCCCGUACACUGUUCAGUGAGACAGGUGUAUGGGAGAAGGACUAUCGAACCGAGACCCGACGCAGAGUGGAAGAAUGGUGGCACCCACGAAUUAUGGCACAGUGGCAGAAAGAUGCAGUGGAGCAGGGUUCCAACAGGAAGAAGUUUUAUGUCCUCUCCAUGUUUCCAUACCCAUCGGGGCGACUGCACAUGGGCCACGUGCGAGUGUAUACCAUCAGUGACACUAUCGGCCACUUCCAGAGAAUGAGAGGCCAUCAGGUGUUGAAUCCGAUGGGUUGGGAUGCUUUUGGACUUCCAGCAGAAAACGCAGCCAUUGAGCGAGGCCUCGACCCAGAGGACUGGACUAAACAUAAUAUCCAGUCCAUGCGGGAGCAGCUGGACAGCCUCGGUCUUUGCUUCAACUGGGACCGGGAGGUGACCACCUGUCUUCCAGACUACUACAGGUGGACGCAGUAUCUGUUUAUCAAGCUCUUUGAAGCAGGGCUGGCGUAUCAGAAAGAGGCUGUGGUGAACUGGGACCCUGUUGAUCAGACAGUGCUGGCUGAUGAGCAGGUGGAUGAAAACGGUCGCUCCUGGAGGUCUGGCGCCCUGGUGGAGCAGAAGCUGCUCACACAAUGGUUCAUCAAGACUACAGACUAUGCCAAGCCUCUCUUGGACGCCUUGGCAGAUCUUCCAGAGUGGUACGGUGUCAAAGCAAUGCAGGCAAACUGGAUUGGAGACUGCACCGGCUGCUACUUUGAUUUCAAACUCAAGGUGAACGGAGAGGAGACGGGGGAGACCCUGUCAGCCUACAGCUCGUCCCCAGAGAUGGUGUUCGGCGCUGCUUACUUGGCUAUCCUGCCGUCCCACAGACUGCUGCAUGGUAGUAGCUCAGUCCGCUCUGUCCUGGAGAAAGCCUAUCAACCUGGCAGAGACUCCCUAACCGAGGUCACUGCUCACAACCUGUUCACCGGCCACGAGGUUCCCCUGGUCAUCUCACACAAGGAGGCGUUUGACGGCUAUCUCGAUACCGUGAUUGGUAUCCCAGACUGCAGUGAGGAGGAUCUGUCUGUGUCCAAAGCUCUAAACCUGAGGUGGACCACUGUGCUGAAAGGCGGUGAAGAUGAGACACAAACUCUGAUUAACUCUGAUGAGUUCUCAGGCCUCACCAGAGAAGAGGCAUUUCACUCCAUUACCCAGAAGGCCAGAGAGCAGAAGGUUGGUGGCCACCUUACCAGCUCCAAGCUCAGGGACUGGUUGAUAUCAAGACAGCGGUACUGGGGCACACCCAUCCCUGUGGUGCACUGUGGGUCUUGUGGUCCAGUUGCUGUCCCUGAGGAGGAGUUACCAGUCACAUUACCUAAACUGCCGUCUCUCACAGGAAAGGGUGCGUCGCCGCUGGAGGCUGCUCAUGACUGGGUUAGCUGCAAAUGUCCCAGAUGCAAGGGCCCAGCGAGAAGGGAGACUGACACCAUGGACACAUUUGUGGACUCAGCCUGGUAUUACUUUAGAUACACAGACCCUCGUAACCCAAACAGGCCUUUUGAGCGCGACCUAGUGGAUCACUGGCUGCCGGUGGACGUGUACAUUGGAGGGAAGGAGCACGCUGUCAUGCACUUGUACUACGCUCGCUUCCUCUGUCACUUCUGCAGGGACCAGGGUCUUGUUACCCACAGGGAGCCUUUUUGGAAGCUGCUGGUCCAGGGUCUGAUCAAGGGCCAGACCUUCAAACUGGCAGACAGCGGCCAGUACCUAAAAAGAGAAGAAAUAGACUUCACAGGUAAAGAGCCGGUGGCAUAUGGUGGUGGUCCUAUUGAGGUGACGUGGGAGAAGAUGAGCAAGUCUAAACACAAUGGUCUGGACCCCCAAGAGGUGGUCCAGCAGUAUGGUGUGGACACCGUUCGACUCUACAUCCUUUAUGCCGCACCACCUGAACAGGACAUCCUCUGGAAUGUGAAGACGGACGCCCUCCCUGGGGUUCUGCGAUGGCAGUCUCGCCUCUGGCAGCUAGUGACCAAGCUGAGGGGGGCUCGGGAAUUAGGAGAUGUCCCCAACCCCUCCCUGCUGAAAAAGAAAGAGCUGGGCGAGACCAAGAAGAUCUGGGACAACAAGAACUACGCCAUUCAGGAGGUGACCUCUCACUUCACAGAGGACUUCCUUUUAAAUGCAGCCAUUUCUCGCCUGAUGGGACUUACCAAUACACUGAGUAGUGCAACAGCCAGGGUGGUCCAGCACAGCGUGGAGUUUGAGGAAUCUCUGGCUGCAUUGGUAAUGAUGACAGCUCCCAUGGCCCCUCACCUGGCUUCUGAACUCUGGGCAGGUCUUUGCCAGGUGAAAAAUCCCCUCAGCCCCCUCCUCCAGCAGGGAGGAGACGUCCUCCAACAGUCCUGGCCCACUGUGGACCCCGAGUACCUGGAUGUCCCCGACUUUGUAGAGCUGUCUGUACUGAUAAACAACAAGGCCUGUGGGAAAGUGACGGUGCCUCUGCAGGUGUCCAAAGAUUCAGAGCGGGUGCAGCAACUAAUCCUGGAGAGCCCUUUCGGACAGAAGCUUCUUGGCGAGCGCAGCAUCAAGAGAGCCAUCCUAUCCCCCAGGACCGCUCUCAUCAACUUCCUCGUUGAUGAGUGACAUUUGAAUGCCUGUCAACCAGUGACUCAGCAGGGAGAGACAGACAAAAGAGCUGCAGAUCUCUUCUGAACACCAUACAUGGACCUGCUGUUUGGCUCCUGGACGUGUCACUGUUCCCUGUGGGCCCCGUUUUACCAGAAGGUCUAUUGGAAGUGACGAGCCUCAUGUGGUCGGGGAUUUUUGAGCUUCGCCACCAUAUCACUGGUGUCCAUUGCUGCACGAUGCCCGCUCAUCAGCUUGCUGUCUCUGUCUCAGCAUUGGAUCAACAUGACUCAGCCAUUAGCAUUGUUCUGGCAGAGCACAUGCACCAGCAGCACUGAAAUGUAUCCAUGUGUACACCCACUGGCCUAUCUUUAAAGGCUUGGUGAGUAAGCAGUUAUUUGAUGUGUGCAAGCACUUGCGGUACCCUCAUCGCCUGUAAACAAGAUUGUCUGUGGCUGCAUAAGAAAAGUCUGAUGUUUCGUCUUGUUCCAGUGUGUGAAUGAACAAUAAGGAAUGUGAUCUCUUUGAAAAGUGAGAUACACGUGCCAGUUUUGCACGGUCAGCUUCUGUUUGAGGAAGUGCUUUUAUUUUUAUAGUACAACAUGGUCAGCUUGGGACCGAUAAAAUCAUGCUGUAUUGUUAUGUAACUAAUAGAAAGUGUUUCUUAUUAAAAUAAGAUGAAUAA
Molecule: RNA transcript, 3543 nt
Organism: Larimichthys crocea (large yellow croaker)
Lineage: Eukaryota; Metazoa; Chordata; Actinopteri; Sciaenidae
Gene: lars2
Gene name: leucyl-tRNA synthetase 2, mitochondrial
Exons: 22
Source: RefSeq, a predicted model, not a curated record